Non-coding RNA from Cricetulus griseus (Chinese hamster), 1207 nucleotides. The record is from RefSeq and is a predicted model, not a curated record. Lineage: Eukaryota; Metazoa; Chordata; Mammalia; Rodentia; Cricetidae.
UGUGAGGCAACUGGUCACAUUAUGUCCCCAGUCACCAGAGAGGGAUGAAGGGAGGACCUCUGCUACUUCUCCUUUUUCUUAGCUUCAGGAUCCCCUCCCAUGGGACGGGGCCAUCUGAAUUCAGAGUGCAUCUUCCCAUCCUCAGAUGCACCCAGAGGUGCGUUUCCAUGGUGACUCUAAAUCCAGUCAAGGUGACCGAAGAGUACACUUCAGGGGGGCAGAGAGUUUGUUUAGCACUACAUGCUCAGGACUUAAAACGGUACAUGGAAGAUACCACAAUUUGCUGAUCGAGUGAAGGUUCUUUCUUUUUUUCCUGUUUUUUAAGGUACUGAAAUGUGCAUUGGUCUCUGGAGGAUCCGGUACACGUCCCUCUUCCCCUUGACAUUUUUUACUGAUGACUAAGAUGAUAACGUUGAUGGCAUGCUAAGCAAAUAGACAGAUGACAUACAAGUAGGGGGGUAGUCACUUAAUGGAUUCAGUCAGGAUCCCCUCUACCCCAGUGCUGACGGAUUGUAGUGAAUCAUCUGGCAAUAUGAAGUUAAUGGGUACAAGUAUCAAGCCUCAAAGAUCCCUGAAUCCAAUUAAACAGGUACAGAGUGGGCGAGCGAUGACUUGCAAGCACACACGUCAGGAAGAUUUAGAGCCUCCUGUUGAUUGUAGAUGAAAAGAAGAAAUGAAUGUAACCACACGGAUGCACCUGAAACAUCAUCUCAGUAUGUUUCACAAGAAGGAAAACAAGAGCUGUCUGGGUAGUCUGAUGGCAAGAGGCAGAGGAUGUGGCUCUCAGCUCCUGCUCUAAUGCUGUGCCUGCCUGCCGCUGUGUUCUCCGCUAUGAUAUGAUUUCAUGGACUAAACUAACCGUCUGAAACUCAGGAAUGCUCAAGUCCCAGCAGAUGAGCUGAUAAGAAGCAAAUGAACUCAUCUCUUACCAUGUGGAAGGCCCAUGUUCCCUAUAGAGAAUUGCAGAGUGAAACCCGUUACUGGACUCGUCAACAAACUAAAAAACAAAAACAGAAAUGCUGUCAGAGACAGUAGGGAACAGCUACUUAUUCCUAAUCCUUAAUGUUAAUUUCACUAAAUCUUUGUGUUACAAAAAGACAAACAUGAUAUGUACUCACUCAUAUGUGGAUUUUAGACAUAGAGUAAAGAAUUACCAGCCUGCAAUCCACACUGCCAGAGAAGCUAGUAAACAAGGAGGACCCUAAGA